Daktulosphaira vitifoliae (grape phylloxera) is the source of this 1611-nucleotide RNA transcript. RefSeq lists it as uncharacterized. Lineage: Eukaryota; Metazoa; Arthropoda; Insecta; Hemiptera; Phylloxeridae. The record is from RefSeq and is a predicted model, not a curated record. The transcript is spliced from 6 exons.
AUCACAUUUAAAAACGUGUUCUUAUGUAUUUAGAAUAAAAUUUUCUAUUAUAUUUGUAAUGAAAUAGUGUCAGUUCGUGUUUAUCUCUCGACCGGUAAACGCGUGUGCUAUCUUAAUCCGGUUGUUUUUAUAGCUUGCGAUAGCAUAGUAAAUUACAGUACUGCGUCGUCUUAAACAGAUAAUAUGUCAAUUUCACUUUUUCCAUAAUAGCGCAGCACAAACACAUAUACAUAUAUUAAGCCAGAUCGGCGGCAUAAAGGACGCCAUGACCACAAACUAUGAAAAAACUUUUCACGUCCAUUGAAGAUUAUAGUGACCGAAUUUUGAACCCGAGGUAGUGUGCGUCAAGCACUGACCCGUUACCGACUCGGCCCCACCGUCACUCUAAAACCUUCUUUUGCAUCAAGAACGCAUUAUCGAUUUGGAUUCAUAUGCUGUCCUACUAGUCAAAACAAAUGGUUUGGUAUCCUUUGAAAUAUUUUGUUGCCUGAAGUUGUUUCCAAAUUGGAUUUAUGUGUUGUUGUACUGUGUGAGUUUAAUUUUGAACUUGACCAAUGGUUGACGUUAAAAAAUGUAUAAAAUAAUUGUAUGCUACUAGAAGAUAUCUAAUAAGAGGAAACAAGCUAUUCUGUGCAUUUAUUCUUCUAUCAUGUAAAAAAGUGGUGAAGGUAUUUGUUCAUACAUGUUGAAUUAUUUUAAACUUAAUGAACAUUAUUUGUUACAAAUGUAUAAAAAUAUUGAAAUUUAUACGGAAGAAGAUUUAAAGAAAUAUGGACUAGCUAUUCAAACUCAUGGCGAUGUAGUAUUAUUAAUGAUUCAAGAUCUACAUAAAAUUGAUAAAGAUCAUUUCCCAUAUGACCUAAUGACGAAUCAGAAACAAUUGUAACAGAUCAAAAUCUAAUGCAGAUGUAUGAAAUCAUAUUAGAAAACUAUAAUCAAGUUGAUUUAUAUCUUCAAGAACUCAUAAAAUAUGCAAAUUCAUUUAAUUUGAUUUAUACCAUACAGCAUGUUGGAAGAAUUACUAUUAAAGACUUUAAAUACAUUCUAACACCAAAUUUAAUUGAUCUUUUAUGCACAGAUAAUCCAAUAGAUUAUUGUAUCAGUAAAAAUGAUGAAUGUGAUACUAGCGACAACAGUAAUGAAAUUAAUGUUUACGACCUAGGGAAUAAUGAUGGCUUGGAUGAAUUCAAAAUUGAAAAUAUUGAACAUUUUAAAGAAGUAGCUUUUAAAAGAAAACAAAAUAAAAGUUUAAAUUUAUCAAUUGACAUGAAGGAUUUCCCAAAACAUAUGGUGGAUUAUUUUCUAUGUUCUGAAUAGAAAAUUAUAUGUUCAUACUAAUAUAGAGAUUAGUUAUAAUCCUCCACGUGUUUUACAUGGAGGAUUAUUUCAUUUGUUCCUAAAAGAAAAUUAUAGUUUUGUAUUAAUAAAGAAACUGGUAUAAUACUCUGUUAUUUUAAUACCAAUAAAAAUUAAAAAACUUCAGAGUGAUCGAAAUCUUGCAAGACAUUUACUAUUUCAGAAACUAUUAAACAUUUUAGAUUUUUGUAAAGAGAAAAGUUUAGAAAACAUUAAAAUAAUAAACAAAAAAAAAAAUCCUUCUAUUUAAUUUUC